GCCAGUGCUACUCGAAGCUAAUGUUCAUCCCUUGGACAGGCUGAGUCCAGGCAGCUGCAGGCCUCUCUCAGAAACUUGAUUCUGAGAGUAAAGCCCCGUUUUCUAGCUCAGCAGACACUCAUGUUUAAGAAAAUGUCUCCCACUGGAGCUUUCCUGACUUGUGCCUCCCGGGGCCUUGUCUUUCCUUGGCUUUUCAUAUACCAGAGGCGCCUUUUCCUGUGGGGACUGCUCCCGGGUGGUCACAUCUCCUGUUCUCAAGAGGCACCUGCAGGUCUUCCUGGACUGCCGCUCAAGACCGCAGUGCAGAGUGAAGGUCAAGCUGUUGCAGCGCAGCAUUUCCUCCCUGCUGAGGUUUGCCGCCGGUGAAGAUGGGGUAAGUGCAGGGGGCCCAGCCCAGGGGGCCGCACACUCGGUAGCCUGCAUGAGCAACUCAUCCCCAGAGGAAGCCCCCACUCCCAAAUGUGUUCUAUUACAACCCAUCCCACUAGGAAGUGGUGUAGACACUCGAGAGUGAAAUGCAGAUAUGUCUGCCAUUCAGACUGAUAGGUUCCUUUCCUCUGUGGAAAUGAGGUUAUUUUAGAUCAUUGUUGAGGUAGAUGCAGGAAUCUGUCC
This 612-nucleotide small RNA is filed under the name Pan troglodytes (chimpanzee). Its description in RNAcentral is "retained intron". The record is from RNAcentral. Lineage: Eukaryota; Metazoa; Chordata; Mammalia; Primates; Hominidae.